This 234-nucleotide ribosomal RNA is filed under the name uncultured Lactobacillus sp. RNAcentral's name for it is "partial 16S ribosomal RNA". It matches the Rfam family "Bacterial small subunit ribosomal RNA", at positions 128 to 355 of the family's 1533-position model. Lineage: Bacteria; Bacillati; Bacillota; Bacilli; Lactobacillales; Lactobacillaceae. The record is from RNAcentral.
GCCCAAGAGAUCGGGAUAACACCUGGAAACAGAUGCUAAUACCGGAUAAUAACAGAUGAUGCCUAUCAACUGUUUAAAAGAUGGUUCUGCUAUCACUCUUGGAUGGACCUGCGGUGCAUUAGCUAGUUGGUAGGGUAACGGCCUACCAAGGCGAUGAUGCAUAGCCGAGUUGAGAGACUGAUCGGCCACAUUGGGACUGAGACACGGCCCAAACUCCUACGGGAGGCAGCAGCA